RNAcentral lists this transfer RNA (72 nucleotides) under Gossypium hirsutum (cotton). It matches the Rfam family "tRNA". From Rfam's summary of the family: Transfer RNA (tRNA) molecules are approximately 80 nucleotides in length. Their secondary structure includes four short double-helical elements and three loops (D, anti-codon, and T loops). The record is from Rfam by way of RNAcentral. Lineage: Eukaryota; Viridiplantae; Streptophyta; Magnoliopsida; Malvales; Malvaceae.
GUUGCUGAGGUGUAGUGUUAUCACGUCAGUCUUACACACUGAAGGUCCCCAGUUCGAUCCUGGGCAGUAACA